AUGAGAAGAAAGAAGAAAGAAGGAAGGAAGGAAGGAAGGAAGGAAGGAAGGAAAGAAGGAAGGAAGGAGAGGAAAAAGGAAAGAAAAAAAUCUGAAAAGCUACAUAGUAUAGAGCCAAGCCACCUGACUCAGAAUUACCUGGAGAGCUUAUUGAAAGGAAGCUCUGUACAAGGCCUGAUGCUUGGGGCAAAAGGCUCUGUCGCCAGCAGGAGCAAACCCCGUGGAAGACGUCCUGUGCACUCCAAAAUUCACAAAACUUUGCCAGAGACUAAUCACCGAAUCACUGGGAUUUUUCAGAAACCUGGAUUCGUCAUCAAACUGCCAGUCCUAACAGUUGCGGUGAGGAUAACACACAGUAGUGUCUUUGAGCUUUUGCUUUGAAGAGUCCAAAUACCGGGGAGGUAGAAGGUAUUGUUAUCAGUUUCCACUCCCGUGGAGGCGGAGCCUUGGCAUUUUAGGGACGACCAGAGACAGAAGGAGAUACCUCCAGAAUGAAUUAUCUUUAGGUAGUCCCAGAUAGGAAAGAUAGUAUGGGUCAGGGAUUCCUCUCGAUACAAAGCACAGAGGAACCAUGCAGGAAGCUGGGGCCAGGCCUAUCUCAUAGGCGAUGGUGUGCAUGGACAUAUAUCAAACUUCCUAGAAUGUAGAGAAUUCUUCUGAUGCAUCACAAAGAAAGUCUGCUUUUGACAAAGGGCCCUCUUCAGUCCCUAAGUACCUCAGAAUGAUAACAAGCUUUGCUAAAUAUUCCUGAGAAAACUUGAAAAAUGAUUUGCCCUAUCCCUUUCCUGCCUCCAACCAAUUUCUGGCUAUAGGAUAUAGAGCUAGAACAAGAGAGUAAGAUGUCUCCUUCUGGGUAAACAUGAAUUUUAGCACCCAUGGAGCACCCUCUGGAGUGGAAUGUUCUAGACCGACACUGUUCCCUAGGUAACCGCUGGCCAUGUGUGACUACUGAGCACUUGAAGUAUGGCUUGUAUGAAAUGAGAUGUGGUGUAAGUGUAAAAUGCAGAUUUUGAAGACAGUGUAAAAAAAGAAUGUAAAUCACUUAAGAUAUUUGGGAUAUAUUUGGUUAAAUAAAAUAUAUUAUUACAAUUGAUUUCA
RNAcentral lists this long non-coding RNA (1098 nucleotides) under Felis catus (domestic cat). Its description in RNAcentral is "lncRNA (ENSFCAG00000049377.1)". The record is from RNAcentral. Lineage: Eukaryota; Metazoa; Chordata; Mammalia; Carnivora; Felidae.